GCUAGUCAGAGGGCAUGUCAUACAGUCUAAGAGAGCUGCAUUCAUUUCUGGUCAGGCCACAGACGCAGGUUACCAGGCAAAUGUUUCAUUGUUCCCUAGGGUUCUAACCAUGAAAACUGCACUCCAACUAGAGAGAAUAGUUUCCAUUCUCAAACUCUGGAGCUUUCUACCACUCUGGAGAGAUGACAGAUAGAAGGCAAGCCUGACUUCUUACUGUGCAAAUGGAGCCCGACCAACCUAAAGGGU
Long non-coding RNA from Symphalangus syndactylus (siamang), 246 nucleotides. RefSeq lists it as uncharacterized. The record is from RefSeq and is a predicted model, not a curated record. NCBI's taxonomy places the organism in Eukaryota, Metazoa, Chordata, Mammalia, Primates, Hylobatidae.